GUACUACUAGGACAUGUUAGGUGUGUAGAUUAAGAAAUUCUUGAGUUUACCACCUUGAUUAAAUGACAAUCUAGCUCUACAUGUUCUCUCUAUUAUGGUGAACAUAAUUGUUUAUGGUACUUAAUGCAGACAAGUUAUCACAUAAAACUUUCAUAGGUUGUAAUCUUUUCAAAGCCUGGUGGAUUGUUCAUGUACACCACUUCUUAUAGGACAGGGGUUGAAUGUGGACAGAAGAUUAGGACUACAGUGCUCAGUUACAUUUGGUCUGUUCGAUCUAGAUCCUAUUUUCCAGAUUUUAAGUUUGGAUUUUAUAUUUAUAAACGAUCUUGUUGAGUGUUGCACACAUAUCUUUAAACUUUAAUAUCUUUAAUUAUCUAUUAUAAAAAGUUAUAAAAAUUUGAUAUUUUGAAAAUAUUUAUUGAAAUAAAUCCAACAUCUUAC
This 441-nucleotide long non-coding RNA is filed under the name Medicago truncatula (barrel medic). RNAcentral's name for it is "long non-coding RNA (MTRU_LNC004191)". The record is from RNAcentral. Lineage: Eukaryota; Viridiplantae; Streptophyta; Magnoliopsida; Fabales; Fabaceae.